UGGGGAAUAUUGCACAAUGGGCGGAAGCCUGAUGCAGCGACGCCGCGUGGGGGAUGAAGGCCUUCGGGUUGUAAACUCCUUUCGACAGGGACGAAGCUUUUGUGACGGUACCUGUAUAAGAAGCACCGGCUAACUACGUGCCAGCAGCCGCGGUAAUACGUAGGGUGCGAGCGUUGUCCGGAAUUACUGGGCGUAAAGAGCUCGUAGGUGGUUUGUCGCGUCGUCUGUGAAAUUCCGGGGCAUAACUCCGGGCGUGCAGGCGAUACGGGCUGACUUGAGUGCUGUAGGGGAGACUGGAAUUCCUGGUGUAGCGGUGAAAUGCGCAGAUAUCAGGAGGAACACCGAUGGCGAAGGCAGGUCUCUGGGCAGUAACUGACGCUGAGGAGCGAAAGCAUGGGUAGCGAACAGG
This 409-nucleotide ribosomal RNA is filed under the name Actinomycetes bacterium. Its description in RNAcentral is "Actinobacteria bacterium partial 16S ribosomal RNA". It matches the Rfam family "Bacterial small subunit ribosomal RNA", at positions 355 to 776 of the family's 1533-position model. Lineage: Bacteria; Bacillati; Actinomycetota; Actinomycetes. The record is from RNAcentral.